RNAcentral lists this ribosomal RNA (462 nucleotides) under uncultured bacterium. Its description in RNAcentral is "partial 16S ribosomal RNA". It matches the Rfam family "Bacterial small subunit ribosomal RNA", at positions 28 to 507 of the family's 1533-position model. The record is from RNAcentral.
GACGAACGCUGGCGGCGUGCUUAACACAUGCAAGUCGAGCGGUAAGGCCUUUCGGGGUACACGAGCGGCGAACGGGUGAGUAACACGUGGGUGAUCUGCCCUGCACUUCGGGAUAAGCCUGGGAAACUGGGUCUAAUACCGGAUAUGACCUCCUAUCGCAUGGUGGGUGGUGGAAAGAUUUAUCGGUGCAGGAUGGGCCCGCGGCCUAUCAGCUUGUUGGUGGGGUAAUGGCCUACCAAGGCGACGACGGGUAGCCGACCUGAGAGGGUGACCGGCCACACUGGGACUGAGGCACGGCCCAGACUCCUACGGGAGGCAGCAGUGGGGAAUAGUGCACAAUGGGCGAAAGCCUGAUGCAGCGACGCCGCGUGAGGGAUGACGGCCUUCGGGUUGUAAACCUCGUUCAGCAGGGACGAAGCGCAAGUGACGGUACCUGCAGAAGAAGCACCGGCUAACUACGUG